Molecule: ribosomal RNA, 475 nt
Filed under: Streptococcus sp. oral taxon 071
Lineage: Bacteria; Bacillati; Bacillota; Bacilli; Lactobacillales; Streptococcaceae
Description: bacterial SSU rRNA
Rfam family: Bacterial small subunit ribosomal RNA
Source: RNAcentral
GACGAACGCUGGCGGCGUGCCUAAUACAUGCAAGUAGAACGCUGAAGAGAGGAGCUUGCUCUUCUUGGAUGAGUUGCGAACGGGUGAGUAACGCGUAGGUAACCUGCCUGGUAGCGGGGGAUAACUAUUGGAAACGAUAGCUAAUACCGCAUAAAAUGGAUUAUCGCAUGAUAAUCCAUUGAAAGAUGCAAAUGCAUCACUACCAGAUGGACCUGCGUUGUAUUAGCUAGUUGGUGGGGUAACGGCUCACCAAGGCGACGAUACAUAGCCGACCUGAGAGGGUGAUCGGCCACACUGGGACUGAGACACGGCCCAGACUCCUACGGGAGGCAGCAGUAGGGAAUCUUCGGCAAUGGACGGAAGUCUGACCGAGCAACGCCGCGUGAGUGAAGAAGGUUUUCGGAUCGUAAAGCUCUGUUGUAAGAGAAGAACGAGUGUGAGAGUGGAAAGUUCACACUGUGACGGUAUCUUACCA